UACAGAGGGUGCGAGCGUUAAUCGGAAUUACUGGGCGUAAAGCGUGCGUAGACGGUUAUUUAAGUCGGGUGUGAAAGCCCCGGGCUCAACCUGGGAAUUGCAUUCGAGACUGAAUAGCUAGGGUACGGUAGAGGGAAGUGGAAUUUCCGGUGUAGCGGUGAAAUGCGUAGAGAUCGGGAGGAACACCAGAGGCGAAGGCGGCGACCUGGACAGGUACUGACACUCAACUACGAAAGCGUGGGGAGCAAACAGG
This 253-nucleotide ribosomal RNA is filed under the name uncultured bacterium. Its description in RNAcentral is "partial 16S ribosomal RNA". It matches the Rfam family "Bacterial small subunit ribosomal RNA", at positions 524 to 776 of the family's 1533-position model. The record is from RNAcentral.